GGAUGUGAGGGCGAUCUGACUGUGACAUCUGUCACCCCAUUGAUCGCCAGGGUUGAUUUGGCUGAUCUGGCUGGCUAGGCAGAUGUUCCCUUCCUCCCUUACCGCUCCAUGUGCGUCCCUCGGUCGAAGAGGACGACCUUUCCCGAAUAGAGAAGGGCCGGUCUUUGGUCAAGGGUAUACGAGUAGCUGCGCUCCCCUGCUAGAACCUCCAAAUAAGGUCUCAAGAAAUAGUGUCACAGUGGUCCUGUUGAAACUGCAAGUACACCCUCAACUUCCUCCCCACACCGCCCUCAAAACUUGCCCCUUUGAAGGUCAGGGGCAUCCUUU
Mesocricetus auratus (golden hamster) is the source of this 327-nucleotide unclassified non-coding RNA. Its record names the gene 7SK. It matches the Rfam family "7SK RNA". From Rfam's summary of the family: 7SK was discovered as an abundant small nuclear RNA in the mid-70s but a possible function has only recently been suggested. Two independent studies have found that 7SK RNA binds the CDK9/cyclin T complex (known as elongation factor P-TEFb). NCBI's taxonomy places the organism in Eukaryota, Metazoa, Chordata, Mammalia, Rodentia, Cricetidae. The record is from Ensembl.